Non-coding RNA from Pelobates cultripes (western spadefoot toad), 792 nucleotides. The record is from the annotation of a GenBank genome assembly. Lineage: Eukaryota; Metazoa; Chordata; Amphibia; Anura; Pelobatidae.
UUUUUAACAUGUUGCUCCAUUUUGUUUUAACUUUACUUUAAAUAUGUAACAAUUGUUAUCACAAUCCAGUUUAUUCCAGGCAUAGACAUGGCACAUAUUGCUUUGGGGGAGGGGAAACAGAAAUAUGGGAGGGGUGGACCCUUUAUAAAACUGUGCUCGUCUGAAAAGCAGUGGAAAAUUGCAAACCUCGCUUUUAGUAUUUCCGGCCACUUAUUAGAACAGAAGACUUAAAUAAGUAAAUCGCUACCUUUAUUUCUGUUUUUCUAUCACCACCCGUAUCUAUAAUGACAGAAAGUAGCAAUACUUAUACCAGUAGCUGACAGGGAGACAAGACAGAGGCUUUGGGACAGUUCUCCGUUAUGUGUAAUGAAUGUAUGGCUGUAUAUAGAUUUCGAGAGAAAAAGCAGUGACAACUCAAAUAUUCUUUGCCAGUUAACCCGUUCACUACAGAGUUUUACUUAAAGGGACACUAUAGUCACCUGAACAACUUUAGCUUAAUGAAGCAGUUUUGGUGUAUAGAACAUGCCCCUGCAGCCUCACUGCUCAAUCCUCUGCCAUUUAGGAGUUAAAUCCCUUUGUUUAUGAAUCCUAGUCACACCUCCCUGCAUGUGACUUGCACAGCCUUCCAUAAACGCUUCCUGUAAAGAGAGCCCUAUUUAGGCUUUCUUUAUUGCAAGUUCUGUUUAAUUAAGAUUUUCUUAUCCCCUGCUAUGUUAAUAGCUUGCUAGACCCUGCAAGAGCCUCCUGUAUGUGAUUAAAGUUCAAUUUAGAGAUUUAGAUACAAUUAUUUAA